Molecule: long non-coding RNA, 554 nt
Filed under: Drosophila guanche
Lineage: Eukaryota; Metazoa; Arthropoda; Insecta; Diptera; Drosophilidae
Source: RNAcentral
GCCACUCGCCUCUCGUCUCUCCUGUGCCUUCCUCGGCUUUAAGCGUUCCACAUGGCGGAUGAUUAAUCAGCAAGCACAAGCGACUAAUGCACUUAGUGAACAGGGCUAUGACAUUAAAACUUAAGUGUUGCCCGCACUUAAUUUAAAAUGCAUGUUAAAAUGCCAUUAAGUUCAAGCAGGAAGUGCCGAUACCGGGGCUACUACUGUUCUUGAUGAUGUACUGACCCGGUACCAGGGGGCAUCUCGUGCGGGGGCAUUCCGUGCGCGUUUAUUGAACUCUGGAUAUGUCGGAUAGGGGACACUGGGACAAAGGCAAUUGCAGGAGUGGCUUCAUCAUCAUAUCAUACGCAUGCAGCCAAGCGUUGCAUAUAAAUUGCCAAAAAUUAUGGAAAUUUGAUGCCUUAACAGGUAGCACUAAUUAUAGGGUUCACAGCUCAUCUGACUAAUUACGAAGUUGUUUUUUUGUGGCAUUUGUAAGCCAGAUGGACUCUGCACUUGAACCCACCGCAGUACACCGGACACAGCACUCCACCCAACGGACACAUCUCUACCCG